Molecule: long non-coding RNA, 216 nt
Organism: Trichosurus vulpecula (common brushtail)
Lineage: Eukaryota; Metazoa; Chordata; Mammalia; Diprotodontia; Phalangeridae
Exons: 2
Source: RefSeq, a predicted model, not a curated record
GGACCUCAGAGGCCAUCCAGUCUGAUAUUCUCGUUUUCCAGAUGGGGAAGCUGAUGCCCAAAGAGAUGAGGAGACAAAUGGUCCCAUUUCCUUGGGCUGCAGCAAUGCUUGGCUAUGCUUUCUGUGAGUAUCUGGGCUGCCUUCUCUCCUCUUCCUCCCAGGAGAAUUGGGUCACUUUAGUUCUUGAGCAAUAAACAGACAAUCACACCAUUUGAA